UCAAAAAAUUCUUUUUUGAUUUAAAAAUUGAAGUUAUUUUUAUUUGUGAAGAAACAACAAUAAAAAUUAAAGACAAGAAGACCCUAUGAAUUUUUUUAAAAAACAAUUUAAUAUUAUAAUUGGGUCUUAAUUAAUUGGGGCGAUUAAAAAAAAUUAUAAACUUUUUAUAAAAAUAAAAUGAUCCACAAAUUGUGAUUUUAUAAAAUAAAUACUCUAGGGAUAACAGCGUAUUAAUUUUAAAUAAAUCAUAUAAAAAAAAUAGUUUGCAACCUCAAUGUUGAAUUAGGAUACUUUUUUAAUGAAAAAGUUAAAAAAAAAAGUUUGUUCAACUUUUAAUAUCCUACAUAAUCUGAGUUCAAAC
This 361-nucleotide ribosomal RNA is filed under the name Haemaphysalis turturis. RNAcentral's name for it is "partial large subunit ribosomal RNA". Lineage: Eukaryota; Metazoa; Arthropoda; Arachnida; Ixodida; Ixodidae. The record is from RNAcentral.